AGUCGAGCGAGCAAUUUUAACGGAAUACCUUCGGGUAGGAAGAUAAAAGCGCGAGCGGCGGAUGGGUGAGUAACACGUGGGCAACCUGCCCUUUAGCUUGGGAUACCACUUGGAAACAGGUGCUAAUACCAAAUAAGAAGCAAGAGCGCAUGCUCAAGCUAUGAAAGGCGGCUUUCGAGCUGUCACUAAAGGAUGGGCCCGCGGUGCAUUAGCUAGUUGGUAAGGUAACGGCUUACCAAGGCAAUGAUGCAUAGCCGAGUUGAGAGACUGAUCGGCCACAUUGGGACUGAGACACGGCCCAAACUCCUACGGGAGGCAGCAGUAGGGAAUCUUCCACAAUGGACGCAAGUCUGAUGGAGCAACGCCGCGUGAGUGAAGAAGGUUUUCGGAUCGUAAAGCUCUGUUGUUGGUGAAGAAGGAUAAGGAUAGUAACUGAUUCUUAUUUGACGGUAAUCAACCAGAAAGUCACGGCUAACUACGUGCCAGCAGCCGCGGUAAUACGUAGGUGGCAAGCGUUGUCCGGAUUUAUUGGGCGUAAAGCGAACGCAGGCGGGAGAACAAGUCAGCUGUGAAAGCCCUCGGCUUAACCGGGGAAGUGCAGCUGAAACCGUUUUUCUUGAGUGCAGAAGAGGAGAGUGGAACUCCAUGUGUAGCGGUGGAAUGCGUAGAUAUAUGGAAGAACACCAGUGGCGAAGGCGGCUCUCUGGUCUGUAACUGACGCUGAGGUUCGAAAGCAUGGGUAGCGAACAGGAUUAGAUACCCUGGUAGUCCAUGCCGUAAACGAUGAGUGCUAAGUGUUGGGAGGUUUCCGCCUCUCAGUGCUGCAGCUAACGCAUUAAGCACUCCGCCUGGGGAGUACGACCGCAAGGUUAAAACUCAAAGGAAUUGAC
This 890-nucleotide ribosomal RNA is filed under the name uncultured bacterium. Its description in RNAcentral is "bacterial SSU rRNA". It matches the Rfam family "Bacterial small subunit ribosomal RNA", at positions 60 to 914 of the family's 1533-position model. The record is from RNAcentral.